GGAAGGAUCAUUAUUGAAAUAUGGUGAUAGGUUGUUGCUGGCCUCGGCAUGUGCACACUUGUCAUCUUUAUUUCUCCACCUGUGCACUAUAUGUAGACCCUGGAGACACAGCAAAAUUGUCUGAGUAAUUAGAUAGAGUUGAGCACUGCUGUGUGCUUUGCGCUGUGUUCUCCAGGUGUUCUAUGUCUUUCAUCUACUCCUACGAAUAUUAACAGAAUGUUGAAACAAUUUUGGGCUAUUCAUUGCCUUAUAAAAAGUUUAUACAACUUUCAGCAACGGAUCUCUUGGCUCUCGCAUCGAUGAAGAACGCAGCGAAAUGCGAUAAGUAAUGUGAAUUGCAGAAUUCAGUGAAUCAUCGAAUCUUUGAACGCAUCUUGCGCUCCUUGGAAUUCCGAGGAGCAUGUCUGUUUGAGUGUCAUUAAAUUCUCAACAACACUGAUCUUUUGAUUAGUGUAGCUUGGAUAUGGGGGAAUGGGCUUUUGCGAACAAAGUUCCAAUCCCCUGAAAUAGAUUAGUGGUGUACCCUUAUGGGACAAACAAAAUCUUUUGGUGGUGAUAAGUCAUCUACACCCUUGGAUGUCCACAUUGAACAGGGUUGUAAAUUGCUGCUCUCUAACCCAUCCCUAAUGGGGGGACAGUCUUGACCUCAAAUCAGAUAGGACUACCCGCUGAACUUAAGCAUAUCAAUAAGCGGAGGAAAAGAAACUAACAAGGAUUCCCUUAGUAACUGCGAGUGAAGUGGGAAAAGCUCAAAUUUAAAAUCUGGCAGUCAUUAACUGUCCGAGUUGUAAUCUAGAGAAGUGUCUGCCCGCGCUGGACCAUUUACAAGUCUCCUGGAAUGGAGCAUCACAGAGGGUGAGAAUCCCGUCUUUGACAUGGACUACCAGUGCUAUGUGGUAUGCUCUCAAAGAGUCGAGUUGUUUGGGAAUGCAGCUCAAAAUGGGUGGUAAAUGCCAUCUAAAGCUAAAUAUUGGCGAGAGACGAUAGUGAA
This 991-nucleotide ribosomal RNA is filed under the name uncultured fungus. Its description in RNAcentral is "eukaryotic LSU rRNA". The stretch from base 642 to 991 matches the Rfam family "Eukaryotic large subunit ribosomal RNA", at positions 1 to 344 of the family's 3401-position model. Lineage: Eukaryota; Fungi. The record is from RNAcentral.